RNAcentral lists this long non-coding RNA (1421 nucleotides) under Catharus ustulatus (Swainson's thrush). RNAcentral describes it as "lncRNA (ENSCUSG00005016267.1)". Lineage: Eukaryota; Metazoa; Chordata; Aves; Passeriformes; Turdidae. The record is from RNAcentral.
CACACUGUUUAAUGGAGGGCUUGGCAGUGCUGAAUCAAUGGUUGGACUCAACCAUCUUAUAGGUCUUUUCUGCCUAGAUGGAUUCUAUGGUUCUCUGCAUACUUUGAAUUGAUGAGGAGCGUGGCACAGAGAUGGGAUGCCCUUAGGGGAAGAGAAUUACCAUCAGUUCUCACCAUGGAAGACAUGAAUCAUCCUCACCUGCUUUUCCCCUCACUGGGAGAAAGAAGUACUGAAAUUCAGCACUACAGAAGCACAGGGCAGACUGGACCUGUAUUACACCAGGGAUGAAUGUACGCAGUUAUCCACACCAGCACCUGGGCAGAAUGGAACAGGCUCAGGCUGCACUUCUUCUGUGGCAACUACUGCUUAAAGCAGGAGAACAUCCCAAGAGGAGCCUGAGUGACAGCUGACAAAAAACACAGACAUGGAAAAUUGAAUUCUGCUGUUCUGCAACAUCAUGGACAUCUGCAAAUGAAGGUACCAAGAACACAAAUAUUCAGGAGGCUGAGGCUACUUAGAAGAUUCAAAAUUAACUCAUAUUGUAGAAAUAUUUAAGAAAAUGCUAAUUUGAAAGUAACCUAAAUUCAUUUUAAACAAAAUGCAGUGUAAAUCCUUAAGUUGCCAGAGGAGUGUUAUGAGUCAGUGUGCUUAAAGAUUUAACCAAAACCAUCAUUACAGAAAAAAGGGCCCCAAAACUGUAAAUAAAUCCGUUUGGCUUUUUUUUUUUUUUUUUUUUUUUUUAAUUAUUCAGUUAAGUGUUGGCUUUGGAAGAAAAAAGUUUCUGUAAUAGCCAAACAAAUGACGUCCCUUAUCAGAAAGGUUCUCUAAAACUCCUUGGUGUGUGAAAACUAAUACCACAGCAACAAGAGGUUUGCUUUUGUCAGACUCUGAAGCAACAUCCUCCAGUGCUCCCUGGGGAAAGAAGUGGGAAGUGACAGCGAUCAAGGCGUCGGGAUGCUCAAGCAGAGAAUAGGAUGAUGUUAGUAACUGAAAGGCAGCAGGCCUUCUCACAGCUGCUGUAUCAGACAAGCCUCAAAAACCAAAAUCCUCCUUGAGAUGCCCAAACUAUAUUUCUGUUGGCUAAGACUUUAAAAACUUUAAAAAGUUGCUUGAAUUAACAGCUGUCUUUGGCUUGGUUUUUCACCUUAGUCAGUUGUUCGUAUAUCUUCCUGGCCUCCUAUUUGGCUUCAUUUAACUGCUGUGUGCGCUUUAACUUUCUGUAAUUACUUUUACACUUGUGUUUUUUGAAGCAAACCUAUGACUCCACAACUCAUUGUCCUUCCAUUCUCUCUUUAGAAAAUAGGAAAGCAAUGAAUUAUUUUCCAGCAUUGCACACUGCUGCUUUCCACCCUAUUAAAUUCAAGCAUACCUUUCUACAAGAUCACAGCAAACCAAAGGUUUCUUCUCAACAUUAUAAAAGU